RNAcentral lists this ribosomal RNA (256 nucleotides) under uncultured bacterium. RNAcentral's name for it is "partial 16S ribosomal RNA". It matches the Rfam family "Bacterial small subunit ribosomal RNA", at positions 524 to 776 of the family's 1533-position model. The record is from RNAcentral.
UACAGAGACCUCAAGCGUUAUCCGGAAUCAUUGGGCGUAAAGCGUACCGAUAGGUGGUCAAGAAAGUCAGAGGUGAAAUCUCAAGGCUCAACUUUGAGACUGUCCUUUGAAACUUCUCGACUAGAGGGGCAAAGAGGAAGCUAGAACGAACGGUGUAGUAGUGAAAUGCGUUGAUAUCGUUCGGAAUACCGGUGGCGAAGGCGGCAUCCUGGACCAACACUGACACUGAAUCGCGAAAGCUAGGGGAGCAAACGGG